RNAcentral lists this unclassified non-coding RNA (221 nucleotides) under Lophiostoma sp. Its description in RNAcentral is "partial internal transcribed spacer region". The stretch from base 1 to 46 matches the Rfam family "Eukaryotic small subunit ribosomal RNA", at positions 1786 to 1831 of the family's 1831-position model. The record is from RNAcentral. Lineage: Eukaryota; Fungi; Ascomycota; Dothideomycetes; Pleosporales; Lophiostomataceae.
AAGUCGUAACAAGGUUUCCGUAGGUGAACCUGCGGAAGGAUCAUUAUCGUAGGGCUUCGGUCCUGUCGAGAUAGCGUCCUUGCCUAUUUUUUGGAGUACCUUUUCGUUUCCUCGGCAGGCUUGCCUGCCACUGGGGACCCUUUAAACUCUUUGUAAAUACAGCAUCUGUCUGAACAAACAAACAAAAAUCAAAACUUUCAACAAUGGAUCUCUUGGUUCUG